Molecule: long non-coding RNA, 813 nt
Filed under: Androctonus crassicauda
Lineage: Eukaryota; Metazoa; Arthropoda; Arachnida; Scorpiones; Buthidae
Source: RNAcentral
GGGGGGAGGAGGUGUGAGUGGGUGCUUGUCCCGGCCUCGCCGAGGAGGUUUUUAUCAAAAACCGUCCGUUUCUAUGGUUAUUCGGUGUCACGUGAUGCAUGGAUAUGGUCACGUGAUUGCAGGCAUUGACGCCCGAUAAUGCCGGCGGCUCGGCGAACCGGGACAAGCACCUAGUCGUGCCUCUUCUGCCUCCGGCGAGGAUUGGGCGCGCAGGCCGGCUGCAGCAGAGGUCUGGCUAUUAUUAUAUGCAGACCGAUAGCCGCCGGCUGCCACAGUUGUCUAUAUUUGUUACGUUAUAGCUAUAUAAUAAAGAUUACAAUAUUUCCAAGAUAUCUUUAUUGUUUCAAUAAAAUGAGUCUUAGUAAAGGAUUAGUUAAACAGGUAUGUUUUCUUUGUUUGAUUCACAUAAAUAUAUUUUGUAGCACCACAGUCUACAAAGAACACAUUUCACGCUGAACUGCUGGCAUCGGUUACAUUUAUAUCGUAGUACGACUGCGGAUGGAUAUUCUCGUUCCAACUCUCUGAUCGGUAUGUCGUAAAGAAAACACAAAUAUAUCGUGAGAAACGAUCCUUUACAAUAUAUAUUUGUAUAUGUUUCCAGCAGAUCGGAUAAUAUAUACCGUACGUGGUCCGUUCUUACCCAUACGUGUCUGCUGCUAUUGGGGCCAUCGCAGUCCGUAUCCGUUGUCUAUGGUAAAUAUAACGAUAUUUCUGUUGAUGAUUGACAAGUGUCGAAAUUUCACUCCUUUUGAGUGUAGAUGUGGAUUUGAUCGUAGAUGUAUUUGUCUGCUAGAGAGACAAAAGUAAGUCUUC